This 784-nucleotide long non-coding RNA is filed under the name Papio anubis (olive baboon). Its description in RNAcentral is "lncRNA (ENSPANG00000041215.1)". The record is from RNAcentral. Lineage: Eukaryota; Metazoa; Chordata; Mammalia; Primates; Cercopithecidae.
CCUGGCAGGGGCAGGGCAGCUACGCUAGGGGGCCAGGUUGAGAGAUCCUGGCCACUGAGGAGUUACAGGAUCAGGGGUUCACAUACAACACAGCCUGGCCACUUUUCUGGAAGGCAGCCGUGUUGUGCUGGAGGCCUGCAAUAGUCCUUCAUCUCUCUGCUCCCUACCGAGCCUGAAGGCAGUCGGAUUGGGGGCAGCAGCAGCAGCAGCAGCAGCAAAAAUGUCAGACCUGUGUUUUUCCUCUGGGAGUUCUGUCCCAGGGAAAUGCAGAACUGCCACUGGCUUAAGAGCUCAGGCAGCUUGGGGUGGCUGUGCUAAGGUCCUAGGCCAAUUGUCUUUGUCUAAUGAGGCGUAGCAGAGGCCAAGCCUGCAGACCAUUCACUCCUCAGCACCAUGAGGCCCCUUUCCUGGGGAGUGUGAAAGAGCCUGGCCUCCCUUGUUGGUAGAGCUACAGCCACUGGUGUCAAGGUGCUCAGGGGUCUGAGGCCCCUGGGACUCUGUGUGUCUUAGUGAAGGCUCUGCCCAUACUCCAUGCAACAUUCUCUGUCACUCUGGAGGUCCCAGGAAGGGAAGAGUAUCAGGGGAGAUCUCCUAUGCGCUGGUUUGCAAAGGUCUGUGGCAGAAGUGUGUCUGUGAGAAGAGCCAGGGGCUCUUGCUCACUCACCAUUUCCCUAUGAUAAUGCUGUUUAAAUCAAUUAUGAUAAAGUUCAGGUGGAACAUUAAUGUAAACAAAUCUUCAGUUUGGCAGCCAACAGAAGAUAUGAUUCUUUCAAGACAAAAGGAG